This 217-nucleotide ribosomal RNA is filed under the name uncultured bacterium. Its description in RNAcentral is "partial 16S ribosomal RNA". It matches the Rfam family "Bacterial small subunit ribosomal RNA", at positions 111 to 334 of the family's 1533-position model. The record is from RNAcentral.
UAACACGUGGGUACCUACCUUGAGGUGAGGAAUACCACCGAGAAAUCGGUGACAAGACCGCAUGACUUCGGCAACGAAGAAAGCUUCUCUUCGGAGAGGCGCCACAAGAUGGGCCUGCGCCUGAUUAGCUGGUUGGUGAGGUAAAAGCUUACCAAGGCGUCGAUCAGUAGCUGGUCUGAGAGGAUGAUCAGCCACACUGGGAUUGAGAACGGCCCAG